AUUUUGAAGCGGAGAGGAGGAGGAACGGCAGGGCUGGCUGCGGAAGGGGGGGGGGGAGAAGGCGAUUGGAUGCGGCGGCGGCGGCGGAUCCCGGAGAGCCCCGGAGUGAGAGGAGUAGCGAGUCGGCAACCCGGAGGGGUAGAAAUAUUUCUGUCAUGGCUCAUUCAAAGACUAGGACCAAUGAUGGAAAAAUUACAUAUCCGCCUGGGGUCAAGGAAAUAUCAGAUAAAAUAUCUAAAGAGGAGAUGGUGAGACGAUUAAAGAUGGUUGUGAAAACUUUUAUGGAUAUGGACCAGGACUCUGAAGAAGAAAAGGAGCUUUAUUUAAACCUAGCUUUACAUCUUGCUUCAGAUUUUUUUCUCAAGCAUCCUGAUAAAGAUGUUCGCUUACUGGUAGCCUGCUGCCUUGCUGAUAUUUUCAGGAUUUAUGCUCCUGAAGCUCCUUACACAUCCCCUGAUAAACUAAAGGAUAUAUUUAUGUUUAUAACAAGACAGUUGAAGGGGCUAGAGGAUACAAAGAGCCCACAAUUCAAUAGGUAUUUUUAUUUACUUGAGGUAAGCAAUAUCUUGUAUCUUGAG
This 578-nucleotide small RNA is filed under the name Pan troglodytes (chimpanzee). RNAcentral describes it as "retained intron". The record is from RNAcentral. Lineage: Eukaryota; Metazoa; Chordata; Mammalia; Primates; Hominidae.